RNAcentral lists this ribosomal RNA (292 nucleotides) under uncultured Verrucomicrobiota bacterium. RNAcentral describes it as "uncultured Verrucomicrobia bacterium partial 16S ribosomal RNA". Lineage: Bacteria; Pseudomonadati; Verrucomicrobiota. The record is from RNAcentral.
GGACUACCGGGGUAUCUAAUCCUGUUUGCUCCCCUAGCUUUCGUGCCUCAGUGUCAGGAGUUGUCCAGGGACUCGCCUUCGCCACUGGUGUUCCGCUUGAUAUCUACGCAUUUCACUGCUACACCAAGCAUUCCAGUCCCCCCUCCAACCCUCGAGCUGGGUAGUUUCCAAUGCCAUUUCCGAGUUGAGCUCGGAGAUUUCACAUCCGACUUACCCUGCCACCUACGCACCCUUUACGCCCAGUGAAUCCGAACAACGCUUGGGACCUCUGUAUUACCGCGGCUGCUGGCAC